Long non-coding RNA from Cydia splendana, 658 nucleotides. RefSeq lists it as uncharacterized. The record is from RefSeq and is a predicted model, not a curated record. Lineage: Eukaryota; Metazoa; Arthropoda; Insecta; Lepidoptera; Tortricidae. The transcript has 2 exons.
UGCAGGUCACAGUACUCGGUAUUUCUCAGUAGACUACGUGGUAAGGACGUGAGUAAUAGCAAGGUUGGUUUGUUCUCAUUUUCCAACGUGUGACGUUGACCAACAAAACUGUUGGUCUACCUGUCUCGGUUUUUAUUUAGUUUUUCUUAUACGCAUAAGAGAGAUAGCCCACAAGGAUUGUGUAGGCAGUGUGCGCGGGCGUUCACGUCAUCGGUGCUACGCAAUUAAGAAAGAAGUUUGUCUCAGUCUGUAAUAUAGUUUCUAGUGUAACUUUAUCUCGGCGUACGUUACAACUGUGGGUAAUCAGUAAUUAUACUUACACUGGUUAGUCUGAGGCGAAGCGCUCGUAAGCGUUGUGAACAUCAGGCCAGUUUUCCUCGCCGGCGCGCAGUUAGUAAUAAUGCUUCAACACUGGAACUAACACGGAUUUAUUAUUUUCCAACUAAACUACUUGAAACGUGAAGGUGAAACUUAUUGACUUGAAAAGUAUGGGCUGUAACAUUUCGUGUCGGCCUUGCUGCUGCUGCUGCAUCCCGUGCCUGUGCUGCGAUUGCUGCGCGGACCCACCCCCUCCCACUACCGUCAACGUGGUGCACCACCACGUGCCCGCGCCCGUCACCGUCGUGCACCAGCCACCGCCACCCUACGCCAGAUAGAA